UUCCUACGGGGGGCAGCAGUGGGGAAUAUUGCACAAUGGGCGAAAGCCUGAUGCAGCAACGCCGCGUGAAGGAAGACGGUUUUCGGAUUGUAAACUUCUGUUCUUAGUGAAGAAUAAUGACGGUAACUAAGGAGCAAGCCACGGCUAACUACGUGCCAGCAGCCGCGGUAAUACGUAGGUGGCAAGCGUUGUCCGGAAUUACUGGGUGUAAAGGGUGCGUAGGCGGCCUGCUAAGUCUGGAGUGAAAGGUACCGGCUCAACCGGUACAGGCUCUGGAAACUGGCGGGCUAGAGAGCAGGAGAGGG
Molecule: ribosomal RNA, 305 nt
Filed under: uncultured bacterium
Lineage: Bacteria
Description: bacterial SSU rRNA
Rfam family: Bacterial small subunit ribosomal RNA
Source: RNAcentral